Salvelinus sp. IW2-2015 is the source of this 1287-nucleotide non-coding RNA. The record is from RefSeq and is a predicted model, not a curated record. NCBI's taxonomy places the organism in Eukaryota, Metazoa, Chordata, Actinopteri, Salmoniformes, Salmonidae.
GAUAACGCUUCUGUCCAGCAUUGAUGACAUCAGAGAGGGACUUUGGGUCGGAGCUGCUGACGUCAUCAUCCGCUCACUGUCAUACUCAGAGAAGAGGAGGUGCAGUCAGGAUCCAUAUCAGCGUUGCACAGGCUGUGUUUACCUGUAAACCUCUGGCCUGGUGGAAGGUGACACAGGUUACGUCGGAGAGCCAGAGAGCACGCGGGACAGCAUGAUGAGCAACGACAGAGAGAGGCAUGAUCAGAUGGUUCUAUCUCUAUGCGCUGUGUGAACCGAUGGCAGAGAAUAAUGUCGACCAAUAACAUCUCCCAGGCCAGGAAUGUGGUGGAGCAGCUCCGCAUCGAGGCGGGGAUCGAACGCAUCAAGGCAGGUUUGGAAUCAUAUUUAGGGCCCAGAGUUUUUCCAGGGCCUGAAGUUUUUCCAUGGUUAGGUCACAUGGCCUAUCCCCCUCUCUCUCUCUCCCUCUUCCCCCUCAGGUAUCUAAGGCAGCAGCAGAGCUGAUGAACUACUGUGAGAUGCACGCACACAGAGAUCCUCUGCUAGUGGGAUUGCCCACCUCUGGAAACCCCUUCAAGGACAAGAAGCCCUGCAUCAUCCUAUAGCUCCUCCCCUAUCCCAUCCCUGGCCUGUCAAUCACUGCCUUUGACCUCAAGACACUGUGGGAUGCUCCGUGAAACCCUAACCUCAAAGAGACUUUGAAGGAUAGAGAAGUGAUGCUAUAUACAAUACAUAUACAAUACAUACAUAGUCAUGAUUGUGAGCUGAAUAGCUGGAAAUCAAAUGAAUGGGAAUCAUUGGUGCUACAGAUGGUUAGGCAGAAAAAGUGUUGUUGUGACGCAUUGGAAAACAGGAACGUUACCGGAUGAUACUGCAAGAGGAGCGGUGAAACACAUAAUUGGCAGAUACAAAUGAAGGAACUACAAGCACAAGGCUGUUGGCUUUGUGUUCAUCCAAACACAUUUUCUGUCAUUCAGGAUGUAACAUUGUCUGGCUAGAGAGAGGACCCAGCUAGCACAUUUGGUUCCAUUAAAGUUUUGUUGACGCUGAGAACAGAAUGUAUGUUUUAAAAGAACAUUCUUAAAUGUUACUGUUUUCUUGGUGGGUUUUUUGGAAAGUUUUCUUGAUGUUCUGAGAACAUGGCUUUAAAUAGAAUCAUGAGGAAACCUGCAGAAAAUGUUAUGCUUAAGUACUGAAAUUCCCACAGAGAAAGUAGUUUCUUAACUUUCUUUGAACAAUUUAAGAACAUUACUUUAAAUCAGGGUUCCCCAACUGGCGGCCCAAGGCCCA